RNAcentral lists this ribosomal RNA (254 nucleotides) under uncultured bacterium. Its description in RNAcentral is "partial 16S ribosomal RNA". It matches the Rfam family "Bacterial small subunit ribosomal RNA", at positions 524 to 776 of the family's 1533-position model. The record is from RNAcentral.
UACGGAGGGGGCGAGCGUUAUUCGGAAUUAUUGGGCGUAAAGGGCGCGUAGGCGGCUGUACAAGUCAAAGGUGAAAUCCCUCGGCUCAACUGAGGAACUGCCUUUGAAACUGUACGGCUUGAGGCCGGGAGGGGGUAGCGGAAUUCCCAGUGUAGCGGUGAAAUGCGUAGAUACUGGGGAGGAACACCAGUGGCGAAGGCGGCUACCUGGACCGGUUCUGACGCUGAGGUGCGAAAGCGUGGGGAGCAAACAGG